UACGUAGGGGGCAAGCGUUAUCCGGAUUUACUGGGUGUAAAGGGAGCGUAGACGGUGAUGUAAGUCAGAUGUGAAAGCCCGGGGCUCAACUCCGGGACUGCAUUUGAAACUAUGUUGCUAGAGUGCAGGAGAGGUAAGUGGAAUUCCUAGUGUAGCGGUGAAAUGCGUAGAUAUUAGGAGGAACACCAGUGGCGAAGGCGGCUUACUGGACUGUAACUGACGUUGAGGCUCGAAAGCGUGGGGAGCAAACAGG
RNAcentral lists this ribosomal RNA (253 nucleotides) under uncultured bacterium. RNAcentral describes it as "partial 16S ribosomal RNA". It matches the Rfam family "Bacterial small subunit ribosomal RNA", at positions 524 to 776 of the family's 1533-position model. The record is from RNAcentral.